RNAcentral lists this ribosomal RNA (196 nucleotides) under Pseudomonas sp. Its description in RNAcentral is "partial 16S ribosomal RNA". It matches the Rfam family "Bacterial small subunit ribosomal RNA", at positions 337 to 525 of the family's 1533-position model. Lineage: Bacteria; Pseudomonadati; Pseudomonadota; Gammaproteobacteria; Pseudomonadales; Pseudomonadaceae. The record is from RNAcentral.
UCCUACGGGAGGCAGCAGUGGGGAAUAUUGGACAAUGGGCGAAAGCCUGAUCCAGCCAUGCCGCGUGUGUGAAGAAGGUCUUCGGAUUGUAAAGCACUUUAAGUUGGGAGGAAGGGCAUUAACCUAAUACGUUAGUGUUUUGACGUUACCGACAGAAUAAGCACCGGCUAACUUCGUGCCAGCAGCCGCGGUAAUA